UACAGAGGGUGCAAACGUUGCUCGGAAUCACUGGGCGUAAAGGGCGCGUAGGCGGCCAUUCAAGUCAGAGGUGAAAGCCCAAGGCUCAACCUUGGAACUGCCUUUGAUACUGUUUGGCUUGAGACCGGUAGAGGUAAGUGGAACUGCGAGUGUAGAGGUGAAAUUCGUAGAUAUUCGCAAGAACACCAGUGGCGAAGGCGGCUUACUGGACCGGUUCUGACGCUGAGGCGCGAAAGCGUGGGGAGCAAACAGG
RNAcentral lists this ribosomal RNA (253 nucleotides) under uncultured bacterium. RNAcentral describes it as "partial 16S ribosomal RNA". It matches the Rfam family "Bacterial small subunit ribosomal RNA", at positions 524 to 776 of the family's 1533-position model. The record is from RNAcentral.